Molecule: ribosomal RNA, 567 nt
Filed under: uncultured bacterium
Lineage: Bacteria
Description: bacterial SSU rRNA
Rfam family: Bacterial small subunit ribosomal RNA
Source: RNAcentral
GAAAGGGUGGGUAAUACCGAAUGUGCUCGGGUCUCGCAUGAGACCCUAUGUAAAGGUGGGGAUUCUUCGGAACCUGCCACUCCUAGAUAGGCCCAUAUCCUAUCAGCUUGUUGGUAAGGUAAUGGCUUACCAAGGCUUACGGGUAGCCGACCUGAGAGGGUGACCGGCCACACUGGGACUGAGACACUGCCCAGACUCCUACGGGAGGCUGCAGUCGAGAAUCAUUGUCAAUGCACGAAAGUGUGAACAUGCGACGCCGCGUGGAGGACGACGGCCUUCGGGUUGUAAACUCCUGUCCUGAGGGAGUAAGUGCACAUUCCUUAAUACGGUUUGUGUUUGAUAGUACCUCAGAAGAAAGUCACGGCUAACUCUGUGCCAGCAGCCGCGGUAAUACAGAGGUGGCAAGUGUUGUUCGGAUUUACUGGGCGUAAAGGGUCCGCAGGCGGUCCUGUGUGUCGGAUGUGAAAGCUCACGGCUUAACCGUGGAAUUGCAUUCGAAACUACAGGACUAGAGUACAGGAGGGGAGUAGGGAAUUCAGGGUGUAGCGGUGAAAUGCGUAGAUAUCC